RNAcentral lists this transfer RNA (76 nucleotides) under Pseudomonas amygdali pv. lachrymans str. M301315. RNAcentral describes it as "tRNA-Val". It matches the Rfam family "tRNA". Rfam says of the family: Transfer RNA (tRNA) molecules are approximately 80 nucleotides in length. Their secondary structure includes four short double-helical elements and three loops (D, anti-codon, and T loops). Lineage: Bacteria; Pseudomonadati; Pseudomonadota; Gammaproteobacteria; Pseudomonadales; Pseudomonadaceae. The record is from RNAcentral.
GGAAACUUAGCUCACUCGGUAGAGCGGCUCGCUUACAACGAGCAGGUAGCCAGUUCGAUACUGGCAGUUUCCACCA